RNAcentral lists this ribosomal RNA (391 nucleotides) under uncultured bacterium. RNAcentral's name for it is "bacterial SSU rRNA". It matches the Rfam family "Bacterial small subunit ribosomal RNA", at positions 28 to 419 of the family's 1533-position model. The record is from RNAcentral.
GACGAACGCUGGCGGCGUGCUUAACACAUGCAAGUCGAGCGGUAAGGCCCUUUCGGGGUACGACGAGCGGCGAACGGGUGAGUAACACGUGGGUGACCUGCCCUCAGCUCUGGGAUAAGACCUGGGAAACUGGGUCUAAUACCGGAUAUGACUCCAUGACGCAUGUUGUGGGGUGGAAAGCCUUGUGCGGCUGAGGAUGGGCCCGCGGCCUAUCAGCUUGUUGGUGGGGUGANGGCCUACCAAGGCGACGACGGGUAGCCGGCCUGAGAGGGCGACCGGCCACACUGGGACUGAGACACGGCCCAGACUCCUACGGGAGGCAGCAGUGGGGAAUCUUGCGCAAUGGGCGAAAGCCUGACGCAGCGACGCCGCGUGAGGGAUGACGGCCUGG